GUGAAUCAUCGAAUUUUUGAACGCAAAUUGCACUCUCCGCUGAGAGGAUGCCUAUUUGAGUUUCAGCCUAUAAAAAAUCAACAUCGGUGCUGUUGCUCGGUUUCGUGCUUCGGAAAUGGAUUCAUCUUGUAUCGUUUUGGGUUAAGCGACUUAAAAUUUUCUUUGGUUUUCAUGAACGGUUCUAAGAUCUAUUUCUGUACACUUUUAAUGUAUCGAUUUUUACUAGACGUGACUAUCAUAUCGGAUCUCGUC
Molecule: unclassified non-coding RNA, 252 nt
Filed under: Glomeromycetes sp.
Lineage: Eukaryota; Fungi; Glomeromycota; Glomeromycetes
Description: partial internal transcribed spacer 2
Source: RNAcentral